This 189-nucleotide microRNA precursor is filed under the name Medicago truncatula (barrel medic). RNAcentral's name for it is "MIR2670 microRNA precursor family". It matches the Rfam family "MIR2670 microRNA precursor family". Lineage: Eukaryota; Viridiplantae; Streptophyta; Magnoliopsida; Fabales; Fabaceae. The record is from Rfam by way of RNAcentral.
UCGGGGUAAAAUAGUGAGUCGCCGACUUGGGGAAGUGAUCAACCCUUGGGAUAAGUUUAAAUCUGCUGUUUUUUACUCCAUAAACUUAAGAUUCUUGUUGGGGUAUAAAAAAAAAAAAAAACCAGAUUUAAAUUUAGCUCAAGGGUUAGUGAUGUAUUUUUUUCAAGGUUGCUCAUUAUUUUACCCAUG